AAAUGAAUGCAGGGGAACUAAUUAAGUUGAGAAGGAAGCGUACACAGCUGUCAAUCCUGACCCUUUGAACCUGUCGGUUAAAACCGUCGUAGGGAGCAAAAUGACAAAGUAU
RNAcentral lists this non-coding RNA (112 nucleotides) under Clostridium sp. RNAcentral's name for it is "TPP sequence". It matches the Rfam family "TPP riboswitch aptamer (THI element)". From Rfam's summary of the family: Vitamin B(1) in its active form thiamin pyrophosphate (TPP) is an essential coenzyme that is synthesised by coupling of pyrimidine and thiazole moieties in bacteria. The previously detected thiamin-regulatory element, thi box was extended, resulting in a new, highly conserved RNA secondary structure, the THI element, which is widely distributed in eubacteria and also occurs in some archaea. The record is from RNAcentral. Lineage: Bacteria; Bacillati; Bacillota; Clostridia; Eubacteriales; Clostridiaceae. RNAcentral also lists the same sequence under 1 other name.